UCUAAGUCGGAAUGAAUCAUUGACUGCCCAGUUUUCGUUCUUGCUGUUGGUUGUAAAAAGUUUAAUGUAUGGGCUGUUUAUGACAUUCCUUGUGUGGAAACUGAGGCCUAAUUCUUCAAGCAAACGCUGCAACUGAGAGAGGGGAGAGCAGCUCAACACAAGAGACGGAAUGAUUCUUUGAUGGCUUUUUUGAUGACUUCAGCUUUAGAUUUUCUUAAUACGUCUUUAACUUAGUUACAUGUAUGCUUCAGAAUAUGUUUGAGUAAUUAGUAGAAAUGAAUACAAUAAGAGCACGUGUUAGUUUUGCAGUUGGGUUUCAAUUUUCAAGCGUGCCUACUUUACAGCCUAAUAAACUUACUUAAUGAAA
Polyodon spathula (Mississippi paddlefish) is the source of this 367-nucleotide long non-coding RNA. RefSeq lists it as uncharacterized. NCBI's taxonomy places the organism in Eukaryota, Metazoa, Chordata, Actinopteri, Acipenseriformes, Polyodontidae. The transcript is spliced from 2 exons. The record is from RefSeq and is a predicted model, not a curated record.